GUUACUAAGGUUAACGUUUUGUUAAUAGGUGACUUGUGGUGUGGUUUUGUGUUAUAUGCUUGUGUUGUGCGUGCGAAGAUGCAGUUGGAUUUGAGGUGAGUAACAUCUCACUAAGGUCCACUUUCGGACCCAUCAUUUAUAAUUAUUAUGAUGUUGAUUUUGAAGAUGAUUAUGAUGAUGAUUGUGAUGUUGAUUUUGAUAUGAUGAUGAUGAUGAUAAUUGUAUGAUGAUGAUGAAAAUGUUGAUGGAAAUGUUGAUGAUAUGAUGAUCAUGAUGAUAAUUAUUAUGAUGACGAUGGUAAUAGGUUUGAUUGAUGAUUAUGAUGCUAUUUUUAAUAUUGUGAGUAAAUCUCACAUGGGUUCUUAAGAAACCAAAUUUAUUUUAUAAUUUUGUUAUGGUUAGAUGUGAAGUUGUCCUUAAAGGAAAAAUGAUUUUUGUUUUAAAAAUAAAUGAGCUUGAUCGUCAACGACUCAUGGGUAAGUGAAAAUAUGUUUUCUGGUAAAAUAAAAUCUUUCAAAAGGACUUCCGAUCAUGUGAUUUGUGAUGCUGAAAUAUGGUUGUUGAUAUUUUUAUUCUAGUGAGAAUAUCUAUGUCUUUGUUAUAUAAAUAUAUUUAGGUGGAAAGAUAUAAUUUAUGAAGUGCUCUUGUGCUGUUGUUGAUGAUAUUUUUAUAUUGUGAAUUGUUGUUUAAAUAGUCAAACCGGGUUCCAAGCCUUUAAUCGGGUGAUUGGUUACGGUUAUGAUAUUAUUAUUUUAUGAUUUGAUAAGUGUUAUGACGUGAGAGUAAUAGAAUGUGUGCCUUAGUGGUGAUGGUGUGCAUUAGAUUAGGAGCCUUUGUAGUGGACCGGAAACCAAGCCUUGGCCGGGUGAUUGGUUACGGUCAGUAUAAAGCUCUAGUCUGUCAAUCGGUACUUCAUGGGGGAUGACUAAGUGUUGACGAACCCAUGAGUACGC
RNAcentral lists this long non-coding RNA (953 nucleotides) under Fragaria vesca (wild strawberry). RNAcentral describes it as "long non-coding RNA (FVES_LNC004837)". Lineage: Eukaryota; Viridiplantae; Streptophyta; Magnoliopsida; Rosales; Rosaceae. The record is from RNAcentral.